This 253-nucleotide ribosomal RNA is filed under the name uncultured bacterium. RNAcentral describes it as "partial 16S ribosomal RNA". It matches the Rfam family "Bacterial small subunit ribosomal RNA", at positions 524 to 776 of the family's 1533-position model. The record is from RNAcentral.
UACGUAGGGUGCGAGCGUUAAUCGGAAUUACUGGGCGUAAAGCGUGCGCAGGCGGUGCUGUAAGACAGGCGUGAAAUCCCCGGGCUUAACCUGGGAAUGGCGCUUGUGACUGCAGUGCUGGAGUGCGGCAGAGGGGGAUGGAAUUCCGCGUGUAGCAGUGAAAUGCGUAGAUAUGCGGAGGAACACCGAUGGCGAAGGCAAUCCCCUGGGCCUGCACUGACGCUCAUGCACGAAAGCGUGGGGAGCAAACAGG